Long non-coding RNA from Helianthus annuus (common sunflower), 2424 nucleotides. RefSeq lists it as uncharacterized. The transcript has 4 exons. NCBI's taxonomy places the organism in Eukaryota, Viridiplantae, Streptophyta, Magnoliopsida, Asterales, Asteraceae. The record is from RefSeq and is a predicted model, not a curated record.
CUUCACACGCUUCUCAUUCAUUCAAGCGUUACUUUUCCUCUUUCCUUUCUAUCAAAUUGGGGUUUUUAUUUCUUCCCUCUUCAUCACCUUAAUAUCAUUAUCAUCAGAGUUUCUUCUCUUCCUCCUUCAUCAUCCUAUGUAAACCCCAAAGGAAUUCACACCAGUUCUUCAAGGAUUGUUACUGAUUCAUUCUAAUGGAAUGAUGGAUCUUUCAAAUGUCGUUGUUCUACAAGCAAGAGGGCCCCAAUCAUGGUGAAUGCAAAGAUGCUGAAGAUAGUCUCAAUCAGGUAUAAAAUUCACCGAUUGUGUUUCAAUCCGGUUGAUUCGCGAUUGUUGUUGUUGUUUCCACAUGAUUCUCAUCUAUCUAUGAUCCAUUCACAAACCCUAGAUUUCAAUCUAAAGCAACUGAGCAAAAGGAUGGAUUACUUGGGGCCUCAGGGAGUAUUUUCGCAGUGUGAAUAUGAACAUUUGUGAAAUUAUUGAAGGGCGAUUAUAUUAGCAGCUAAGAAAUUGGAUGGUUUAAUUGUUGCUACAGUAGCUGCAAACUUGCAGACGUGAGUUAUGGACUUAUGGUGAUGAUUUACUUGUUGCAGAGGGUUAUCGCGGUACAAGUGGUCGGACAUGGAGCAGAAGAGGGUUGAGGCAAACAAGUUGGCUUCAGAAAAGAAGACGAAAUUCAAGUAUGAAUUUAAGCGUAAGAUCCCUAUCUCUUAUUCAGUUUUGAUGUUUAGCUUCUCAUGCAUAUAAUACAUUAAGUCUAUUUCAAUGUUAUCAUAUGUGACUCUCAGUGCAACUUUAGUUUUCAGCAGGUAUUGUAAGCUAUACUUCUACCAAGGUGCUGACAGUGAAGUAUGUUCCCAAUUUCAUUCUGAACUCUACAUCUCUACCUGUACCUAUUAUGCCCAACCAUGUUAUGACCAUUACCAAAAUGACAAUUUUCUAAUACAAAAUGUCGUGACUCGAACCCGUAAAUAUAAAUUUUAGCUAACAAGUCAUAAUUACCUCUUUUGGGGCAAAAAAACAGUUUUUAUUUAACGGGCCAGUAGUUAUUCAUUUUUAGAAUACUGCAACAAAACUAUGAGUUAACCUUUUUAGUAAAUGGGUCAAAAACCGUUCUUAGUGAAUGGGUCAAAAUCAUCACUUUUGUCAAAGUGCUUUGUGUUUUGACCUGAACCAAUCAAGCAUGUACACUAUUUCUUUCGCAUCUGUACAGAUUUGAGUAUCAAUGCGGCUCAGGUCGAAACGAGUUUUAAUUGGAUUUGGUUACACAUAUGAACGGGUUCAAGUCAUUAUGAGUUUAUGUCAUAACGGGUCGACUCAAAAAAGGGUUGUUUUGGUAAGGGUCGAUACAGGUUUUGGGUCGGUAUGGGUUGGUCAUUAUCAUAUACUAAAUAUUAAACUUUGAUAAAGAUAAAAACUAAUGAUUAAUAAAAUUAGUAAGGCUAUAAAAGUUGAAGCUUAGACCAAGUGUUUGACCUUUGUCAUCAACUGGUCACUGUAUUUCCAAGAAGUCAAUUUGCAACCAACAAGAAAUUCAUGAAGAUCCACGUUUACUUUUUAUCUAUUGGUUCAGUAUUUUUUAUUAGUUUUUACUAUACUUUUUUUCUUUAUAUAAAAAAUGUAAGGAUUUUUCUGGGAUGAAAUGAUCAUUUAGAAAAAGUUUGUGGGAAAGUUUGUAAGCAUUGCUACUGUGUGAGAUAACUAUGGAGGUUUUAGUUGGGUGCAUGAGAGAUGUUCCAAGGGUUUUUAGCAGGACUCUAAAUUAUAUUUUUGAAACUGACCAUAUAAGGUGGUAAUGUUUUGCACAUAGUAUAUUAUAUUCACUCAAGUGUUUAGCUAAGCAGUCAAUAGCGGUGCUAUAGCGGUUAGCAGACCUCAGGGUGUGUAGCGGUCCAAAUAGCGGUGGCAUAUAGCGGUUCCACUAUUACCGGCGCUAAAUACCGCUAUAGCGGUGCUAUGGCGGUACUAUAGCGGUUAUAGCAGUAACCGUGUUUGAUUGUGUUAAUUCUUAAAUUAAAUACUUCAAAGUUACUUUUAAUAUUUGAUUUGCAACAGGUUUUUGAUAAUGGAAUGAUAUUACUAUGAAUUUUGAUAUUACUAUUAAUAUUUUUCAAAGAUAUAUUUAUAUAUAGAGAGAGAAAGAAUAAUGUACAAAAGAGCUUAACGUACGUUAACGUACAUGACAGAAAAACAACUUGCAUGAUUACAUUUCCAUGCGUUAUUAUGCUCCCAUGCGUGAUUAGGUAUGCUCCCAUGCGUGAUUAUCACCAAAAAACUAAUCCCAUGCGUUAUUAUUUGUUCCAUGCGUGAUUAUAGCCCUGAUCUGACGGUUACCAGUGUCGCGUACGUGAAGUAUGAUAAGCCCUUUUGUAUGUUAACCUUUCUCUCUCUCUCUCUCUCUCUCUAUAUAUAUAUAUAUAUAUA